GCCAGGUUGGCAGAAUCCGGCUAUUGCGGCGGUCUCGAAAACCGUUGCCCGAAAGGGCUUCCAGGUUCAAAUCCUGGGCCUGGCG
This 85-nucleotide transfer RNA is filed under the name Candidatus Woesearchaeota archaeon. RNAcentral's name for it is "tRNA-Ser". It matches the Rfam family "tRNA". From Rfam's summary of the family: Transfer RNA (tRNA) molecules are approximately 80 nucleotides in length. Their secondary structure includes four short double-helical elements and three loops (D, anti-codon, and T loops). The record is from RNAcentral. Lineage: Archaea; Nanobdellati; Candidatus Woesearchaeota.